Molecule: non-coding RNA, 860 nt
Filed under: Pan troglodytes (chimpanzee)
Lineage: Eukaryota; Metazoa; Chordata; Mammalia; Primates; Hominidae
Source: RNAcentral
GCCCUGACGGCGCUCCCGGGAGCAGCCGGAGCGCGGCGGCGGCACGACCCCUUGCGCCUCCGAGGCAGACGAGCCCAUCGGGAGAAGGCGAGGCAGGGAAGUGCCUAAACCAACGGGAUAGGAUUCAAAACUAGGUGACAAACUCAUGAGAAAUCCAACCUGGCUGAAUGUCUGAGAGGCUGCUACUGUAUCAACAUCACAAGAUAAAGCACUCUGGUAUCACCUGCCCAUAUCCUCCUUAGUGUCACCCAAGACAUUUGACUCUGAUGUGGUUAAUUGAUAACUUUUCUUGCUCCACUUUACAAUGUUUUGUUUCCUACAUCUUAUUACCUUGGGACACAAAAGUGGCAGAGUUGUUGAGAGCUGAUGACCAUAAAAAGGAGAACACUAGAGGAAAUGAGACAGGAAAGAAAGCCAAAGCUGAUUUUCCAACUCUAUGCUGACUCCAACCUGCAGAAAAAGCUGAAUAUAGAAAUCUUCUUCCAUAUAUGAUGAAGUCACUCCACUUACGACAUAACACACAAAGGAAUCACCUGGCUUUUUUUUUUUAACCCAGAAGAGUUGUGCUGGGGACCAUGCCCCAUCCCGCUGAUACAGAUCCUGAAUGGAAUAAUCAGGAAUGGCACAGUGCAGGUGUCAAUAUCAAAGUAAGGCCGCAGAAUUUUUGAGAGGACCCUCCAAAUACUGAAAACUUCUGUUGCACUCGAAACAGUCUCCUGGAUUUCUAUAUUUUUAUGUGAAGGGCUCUUAUUGAUGUCCCCCAGAAUCCAGACUCAGACCUAUUUCUCCAAAAAGGUCCAAUUGGGUUGCUACAUAGUAGCAAGGGUUUAUCUUCAUGCUCACCUAGCAUUCCAGGCCCC